GAUGAACGCUAGCGGCAGGCCUAACACAUGCAAGUCGAGGGGCAGCACAGAAACAGCAAUGUUUUGGUGGCGACCGGCGGACGGGUGCGUAACGCGUAUGCAACCUAUCUUUAACAGGGGGAUAACGGAGAGAAAUUUCCACUAAUACCCCAUAACAUCGAUCAAGGCAUCUUGAUUGGUUGAAAACUCCGGUGGUUAAAGAUGGGCAUGCGUUGUAUUAGGUAGUUGGUGAGGUAAUGGCUCACCAAGCCUACGAUACAUAGGGGGACUGAGAGGUUAGCCCCCCACACUGGUACUGGGACACAGACCAGACUCCUACGGGAGGCAGCAGUGAGGAAUAUUGGUCAAUGGGGGCAACCCUGAACCAGCCAUGCCGCGUGCAGGAAGACGGCUCUAUGAGUUGUAAACUGCUUUUAAACAGGGAUAAAGCACAGUAUGUAUACUGUGUUGAAGGUACUGUAAGAAUAAGGAUCGGCUAACUCCGUGCCAGCAGCCGCCGUAA
Molecule: ribosomal RNA, 502 nt
Filed under: uncultured bacterium
Lineage: Bacteria
Description: partial 16S ribosomal RNA
Rfam family: Bacterial small subunit ribosomal RNA
Source: RNAcentral